UAAUUGAAGAGUUUGAUCAUGGCUCAGAUUGAACGCUGGCGGCAGGCCUAACACAUGCAAGUCGAGCGGCAGCGACAACAUUGAACCUUCGGGGGAUUUGUUGGGCGGCGAGCGGCGGACGGGUGAGUAAUGCCUGGGAAAUUGCCCUGAUGUGGGGGAUAACCAUUGGAAACGAUGGCUAAUACCGCAUGAUAGCUUCGGCUCAAAGAGGGGGACCUUCGGGCCUCUCGCGUCAGGAUAUGCCCAGGUGGGAUUAGCUAGUUGGUGAGGUAAGGGCUCACCAAGGCGACGAUCCCUAGCUGGUCUGAGAGGAUGAUCAGCCACACUGGAACUGAGACACGGUCCAGACUCCUACGGGAGGCAGCAGUGGGGAAUAUUGCACAAUGGGCGCAAGCCUGAUGCAGCCAUGCCGCGUGUAUGAAGAAGGCCUUCGGGUUGUAAA
Molecule: ribosomal RNA, 442 nt
Filed under: Vibrio fluvialis
Lineage: Bacteria; Pseudomonadati; Pseudomonadota; Gammaproteobacteria; Vibrionales; Vibrionaceae
Description: bacterial SSU rRNA
Rfam family: Bacterial small subunit ribosomal RNA
Source: RNAcentral